CAAAAAGCAGGGUUCUGUUGUGUAAUAACAGACCUCACGUAAAUGUCAGGAAAAUCGAAUUGGUCAUCGUGAAUGGGUGAGCCAAUGUUUUAUGCUAAUAGCAAUAUGGUUCAGUACAUGAUGGUACAUUA
This 131-nucleotide small nucleolar RNA is filed under the name Capsella rubella. RNAcentral's name for it is "Small nucleolar RNA snoR74". It matches the Rfam family "Small nucleolar RNA snoR74". Lineage: Eukaryota; Viridiplantae; Streptophyta; Magnoliopsida; Brassicales; Brassicaceae. The record is from Rfam by way of RNAcentral.